AGAGUUUGAUCCUGGCUCAGAUUGAACGCUGGCGGCAUGCCUUACACAUGCAAGUCGAACGGCAGCGCGGGGCAACCUGGCGGCGAGUGGCGAACGGGUGAGUAAUAUAUCGGAACGUACCCUGGAGUGGGGGAUAACGUAGCGAAAGUUACGCUAAUACCGCAUACGAUCCAAGGAUGAAAGCAGGGGACCGCAAGGCCUUGUGCUCCUGGAGCGGCCGAUAUCUGAUUAGCUAGUUGGCGGGGUAAAAGCCCACCAAGGCAACGAUCAGUAGCUGGUCUGAGAGGACGACCAGCCACACUGGAACUGAGACACGGUCCAGACUCCUACGGGAGGCAGCAGUGGGGAAUUUUGGACAAUGGGCGCAAGCCUG
RNAcentral lists this ribosomal RNA (373 nucleotides) under uncultured bacterium. RNAcentral describes it as "bacterial SSU rRNA". It matches the Rfam family "Bacterial small subunit ribosomal RNA", at positions 8 to 385 of the family's 1533-position model. The record is from RNAcentral.